UUUAGGAAGUCGCAUUGCCCAGUGGUUGGAUCAGGAGUCUGAGCACGGCAUUGUGUCACUGGAAAUCCAGUUAAUUCCGGAUGCUACUCUUGGUUACUACAGAAUCACAGCUGAGAGAGAAUCUGGGUUUGCAGUGGGGCAGGGGUUUUCUGUAGAGGAAAUUGUGUUACCCAGAUACAGCAUCUCUGUUUCUUCACCAAACACCCUCAGUAUAUUAGACGAGACUCUGACGUUUAAUGUCACUGCCACGUACACGUAUGGGCAACCAGUACCCGGCUCUGUCACAGUCAGAUGUUGCAGGAAUUCAGGG
Bombina bombina (fire-bellied toad) is the source of this 310-nucleotide long non-coding RNA. RefSeq lists it as uncharacterized. The transcript is spliced from 3 exons. The record is from RefSeq and is a predicted model, not a curated record. NCBI's taxonomy places the organism in Eukaryota, Metazoa, Chordata, Amphibia, Anura, Bombinatoridae.